RNAcentral lists this unclassified non-coding RNA (340 nucleotides) under Agaricomycetes sp. RNAcentral's name for it is "partial contains 5.8S ribosomal RNA, internal transcribed spacer 2, and large subunit ribosomal RNA". The stretch from base 1 to 71 matches the Rfam family "5.8S ribosomal RNA", at positions 84 to 154 of the family's 154-position model. Lineage: Eukaryota; Fungi; Basidiomycota; Agaricomycetes. The record is from RNAcentral.
GUGAAUCAUCGAAUCUUUGAACGCACCUUGCGCUCCCUGGUAUUCCGAGGAGCAUGCCCGUUUGAGUGUCAUGAAAACCCCCUCAACCCCUUCGGUCGCCUCUUGUGCGCCGCUGGGGGUUGGACUUGGACGUCUGCUGCGACUCGCUUCGUGGCUCGUCUCAAACGCAUUAGUCGACUCCGUUGGGUCCCGCCUUUGACGUGAUAGCAUCGUCGUCUGGGGCUUUGGGGCCCUCGCCACUGGAGCGGCUCACCAACGGUCCACUUCGGACAGCUUUCGUUUUUGACCUCAAAUCGGGUAGGACUACCCGCUGAACUUAAGCAUAUCAAUAAGCGGAGGA